CUGAUAUAGGGUCUUUCUCGUUCCGUAGGAGAUCAAAAACUGUACAACGUCUUUUUGGAACAAUUACACAGGCGUCGUCAUUCCUGAGUAUCCUGGCAACUAUGUUGACGAUAUCUUUGUCGUACGUGAGGGUUACAAAUUUAGGCCUAUCUGGUAAUCGACGUGUGUGUCACCAUGUUCAGGGUUUUGUAGCAAAGUUAGCUGUUUUUUCCAUAUGCCUGUUAUUACCUUAUAGGGGUAGCCAAAUUUUGACCCUACAUCUAGGAUGUACUGUAGCUCCUUCACUUUAUCCGACCAUUUUGUGACAUGGGUAAAGACCCUCGUGACCAUAGCUCUAAAGGCCGUUAGCUUGUAAGGCAUAGGGUCUAUUGACCAAGCUGGGAUG
RNAcentral lists this long non-coding RNA (385 nucleotides) under Androctonus crassicauda. Lineage: Eukaryota; Metazoa; Arthropoda; Arachnida; Scorpiones; Buthidae. The record is from RNAcentral.